RNAcentral lists this ribosomal RNA (264 nucleotides) under uncultured bacterium. RNAcentral describes it as "partial 16S ribosomal RNA". It matches the Rfam family "Bacterial small subunit ribosomal RNA", at positions 793 to 1055 of the family's 1533-position model. The record is from RNAcentral.
GUCCACGCUAUAAACGAUGGAUGCUAGAUGUCGCGGGUAUUGACCCCUGCGGUGUCGACGCUAACGCAUUAAGCAUCCCGCCUGGGGAGUACGGCCGCAAGGUUAAAACUCAAAGGAAUUGACGGGGGCCCCGCACAAGCGGUGGUGCAUGUGGUUUAAUUCGACGCAACGCGCAGAACCUUACCUGGGUUCGAACGGCACUGGAAUCUUACAGAGAUGUAGGAGCCCGCAAGGGCUGGUGUCGAGGUGCUGCAUGGCUGUCGU